ACAGAACUGUUUGCUCGUAGAGGGGGGUGGGUGGCACUCUGAAGGCUAUCCAGCACGAUCCGGCCCUUUCCCUUGGCAAUUCUGUGACACUUUCCAAUCUAAGGCCGACAGAGCAAGGCAACCAGAUUUUUUUCUACAGCACCCUCCCAGGUGAGCAGUGGGCCUGGAGCCCUUCUGUAACCUGGCAUCUGUAGGUCUUCUCAUUAAGAACGAGAGUCAGAAGAGGAAAGGACUUAACACUCAUUACAACUCAGUCAUGGGCAGGCACUCUGAGUCCUCCGCAAAAGAAUGUGCAGGAUCAGAGGCCUCUUUCCAUUCUGCAAGGGUCACGCAAGACCCAUGGAAUUCAACAGGAGGCAAUCUAGGGACUAUAAAAGGUCGCGACGUCUGGCUUGAGGUUAAUGGAAGUUACAAAGGGUCAAAAGCCGACAGUGAGCGCUACCAGGUGUCGGGUCGGCGUAGUGCCGGCAGUGCAAGGCGCACGUUACUGUGGACCUGAAGGCUCAGGCCUUGGUGCCAAGGCCGCCCUGUGGGCUCAGGAUAGUUUCCCACCUACUCGACUGUAAUUAGUACUCUGGCGAGAGUAAAAAGGUACUGGCGUGGGACUUAGAAUACAGGAUGCCACCGGCUGAAGAAGAACCUUGUGUGUUUGGAAAAGCGGGCUGCUUCCUAUCGGUCUUGGAUAAAAGGCAACCCAGAGCCCGGGUGCAUCCCUAACUCAUGCCCAAGGAAGGUCGUGCGGAGCCAGAGGACCUAGAAUGUAUAGUGCGCCUUCUGGGUUUGUCCACACAAUAGCGCAGGAACACAGCGACCCAAUAUAGUGAGAAGUGGCCGCAGCGCACACCCUGAGACCCUUCACCAGGCGGCCCACCCGGAGCCUGCCUACUCAGCCCCGCUACCACGAUAAGCCUGGAAUGUCAAAUAUUUGUUCUAGGAACCCAGUGAAACCUUGAGGUAAAGCCCCUCCCCUCCUCCCUCCCAUUCCGGAGCGCGCCUGCGUCAGUCCAGGCUUUCCGGUAAGGACACUCCCUUCCAACUAGUUCCUUCUCGACACCCCUGCAACCCAUCGUCCUGACUAUUUAAACUUCACAAGGUCUUCGCUACAGGCUCAGGUUCAGUGAGGCAGAGUCUUGGCUUCCCUACCCAGUUAUCCCAGAGCUACUGGUAUCGGUUUCUACCCACAACCUCCGAGCAAGGCUCCCCUUUCAACCUGUAGACCUCGCCUCCCGAUUCUCGGGAGAUCUUGCUGACUGUGGAAUCCCUGGCUGUUCCGAACCCCCUGGAAAGAAGCGGCUGUUCCCAGGUUUCUGCAAGGUAACGAAUCUGAAGAGUCAACAGAAUUGAGCGGCUCCAUUCAUUCGACUCUGGUUCUCUCAACCAGGCAUUCCCCAUAUUAAAACAAUUCCAGAACUUCAAA
Molecule: long non-coding RNA, 1417 nt
Filed under: Mus musculus (house mouse)
Lineage: Eukaryota; Metazoa; Chordata; Mammalia; Rodentia; Muridae
Description: RIKEN cDNA 1810019D21 gene
Source: RNAcentral